This 19-nucleotide unclassified non-coding RNA is filed under the name synthetic construct. Its description in RNAcentral is "RNA from synthetic construct (PDB 7Z1M, chain R)". The record is from RNAcentral.
UAUGCAUAACGCCACAGAG